RNAcentral lists this long non-coding RNA (905 nucleotides) under Diabrotica virgifera virgifera (western corn rootworm). RNAcentral's name for it is "uncharacterized LOC126882090". The record is from RNAcentral. Lineage: Eukaryota; Metazoa; Arthropoda; Insecta; Coleoptera; Chrysomelidae.
UAUAUAUGUAUAUAUAUAUAUAUAUAUAUAUAUACGCGAGCAACGCACCAUGCGAGUCCCGAUAUAUCCAGCAGACCACCCGAGACCCACCAUAACCAAAGUGUAUAAUUAGAUUUUUAUUAUAGAAAAAUAAACAAUAUAAUAUGAACUUUUAUGGGCCCCAGAGAGGGGUAAGAAAAAUCUUUUAGUUUAAUAAAUCUAUACGGAGCAUACCGUGCGAGUCCCACUUACAAGUCAAGAGGACAUGCGAGUCCCGCCAGUUAUACAUGGCACACUCAGCAAACAAUAUGAGACCCAGCGAUGUUGCCACAACGCUGGGUCUCGUAUUGUUUGCCGAAUCUUUUAGGUACUCCCCGGUUUUUAUAUUUCACCUCGAAUUUAACAGUUUUGUUUCAGCGGUUGCUAUUUUAAUUCUUGUGAAUAGUAAGGGCGGACGUAAAAUAGUGAUUUUAGGCGCAAGGAUAAAUAUUAGGUACCUAUGGAAAAUAGAUCGAAAAAAUUUUUGAAACGCGUUGGACGAAAAUAAUAAAAAAGAAGAUUAUUCAAAUGCAAAUAAGAUGGGGAAAUCUUAUUUUGGGCCGCCUAGCAAAACGAAACACAAUGCGAAAAAAAAACUGAGCUUUUAGAGCUUAAUGUAAAGAUCUUAUCGAACGUUAACCUUAAAGAAAAAAUUGGUAACUACUUGCAAACUAUAACAACUCACUUUUUUUUUAAUGUCAAGAAAAUAAAAUAGAUGAAUCAACAUUAUCUGAAAGUAAAAAUAACGUAGAGACUCCAUUUAAUAAAUAUGAUAAAGAAAAAAAACAGGACCAUUUAAAUCCCAAAGCAAAUAUUUUACUGGAACCAGAUGUUAAACUUAAUGAUAAUAUUGAUAACGACUCACAACCUUUAAACAAAACCUUGGA